RNAcentral lists this ribosomal RNA (159 nucleotides) under Eurystyles borealis. Its description in RNAcentral is "5.8S ribosomal RNA". It matches the Rfam family "5.8S ribosomal RNA". Rfam says of the family: 5.8S ribosomal RNA (5.8S rRNA) is a component of the large subunit of the eukaryotic ribosome. It is transcribed by RNA polymerase I as part of the 45S precursor that also contains 18S and 28S rRNA. Functionally, it is thought that 5.8S rRNA may be involved in ribosome translocation. Lineage: Eukaryota; Viridiplantae; Streptophyta; Magnoliopsida; Asparagales; Orchidaceae. The record is from RNAcentral.
UGACUCUCGACAAUGGAUAUCUUGGCUCUUGCAUCGAUGAAGAGCGCAGCGAAAUGCGAUACGUGGUGUGAAUUGCAGAAUCCCGUGAACCAUCGAGUUUUUGAACGCAAGUUGCGCCCGAGGCCAAUUGGUUGAGGGCACGCCUGCCUGGGCGUCAUG